GGGUCGUUAGCUCAGCUGGUAGAGCAGCGGACUCUUAAUCCGUUGGUCGUAGGUUCGACCCCUACACGGCCUACCA
This 76-nucleotide transfer RNA is filed under the name Burkholderiaceae bacterium. RNAcentral describes it as "tRNA-Lys". It matches the Rfam family "tRNA". Rfam says of the family: Transfer RNA (tRNA) molecules are approximately 80 nucleotides in length. Their secondary structure includes four short double-helical elements and three loops (D, anti-codon, and T loops). The record is from RNAcentral. Lineage: Bacteria; Pseudomonadati; Pseudomonadota; Betaproteobacteria; Burkholderiales; Burkholderiaceae. RNAcentral also lists the same sequence under 1 other name.